RNAcentral lists this ribosomal RNA (241 nucleotides) under uncultured bacterium. Its description in RNAcentral is "partial 16S ribosomal RNA". It matches the Rfam family "Bacterial small subunit ribosomal RNA", at positions 92 to 334 of the family's 1533-position model. The record is from RNAcentral.
CGACCGGCGCACGGGUGCGUAACGCGUAUGCAACCUACCUUUAACAGGGGGAUAACACUGAGAAAUUGGUACUAAUACCCCAUAAUAUCAUAGAAGGCAUCUUUUAUGGUUGAAAAUUCCGAUGGUUAGAGAUGGGCAUGCGUUGUAUUAGCUAGUUGGUGGGGUAACGGCUCACCAAGGCGACGAUACAUAGGGGGACUGAGAGGUUAACCCCCCACACUGGUACUGAGACGCGGACCAG